RNAcentral lists this ribosomal RNA (259 nucleotides) under uncultured bacterium. RNAcentral describes it as "partial 16S ribosomal RNA". It matches the Rfam family "Bacterial small subunit ribosomal RNA", at positions 113 to 353 of the family's 1533-position model. The record is from RNAcentral.
ACACGUAAACAACCUGCCUUCAGGAUGGGGACAACAGACGGAAACGACUGCUAAUACCGAAUAAGUUCCAAGAGCCGCAUGGCCCAUGGAAGAAAAGGUGGCCUCUACCUGUAAGCUGUCGCCUGAAGAGGGGUUUGCGUCUGAUUAGCUGGUUGGAGGGGUAACGGCCCACCAAGGCGACGAUCAGUAGCCGGUCUGAGAGGAUGAACGGCCACACUGGAACUGAGACACGGUCCAGACUCCUACGGGAGGCAGCAUG